UACGUAGGGGGCUAGCGUUGUCCGGAAUCAUUGGGCGUAAAGCGCGUGUAGGCGGUCCGGUAAGUCCGCUGUGAAAGUCGGGGGCUCAACCCUGGGAUGCCGGUGGAUACUGUCGGGCUCGAGUCCGGAAGAGGAGUGUGGAAUUCCUGGUGUAGCGGUGAAAUGCGCAGAUAUCAGGAGGAACACCAAUGGCGAAGGCAGCACUCUGGGACGUGACUGACGCUGAGACGCGAAAGCGUGGGGAGCAAACAGG
Molecule: ribosomal RNA, 253 nt
Filed under: uncultured bacterium
Lineage: Bacteria
Description: partial 16S ribosomal RNA
Rfam family: Bacterial small subunit ribosomal RNA
Source: RNAcentral